GACGAACGCUGGCGGCGUGGAUUAGGCAUGCAAGUCGGACGGUAGGGCUUUAUCGUAAGAUAGAGUUUGAGAGUGGCGAACGGGUGAGUAACACGUAGGAAUCUACCCUUAAGACGGGGACAACCCAGGGAAACUUGGGCUAAUACCGGAUGAGAGUGCGAGAGAUUGCAUUUAAAAGGAUGGCGAAAGUUGUCGCUUAGGGAUGAGCCUGCGGUCUAUUAGUUAGUUGGUGAGGUAAGAGCUCACCAAGGCGAUGAUAGAUAGGCGGCCUUAACGGGUGGUCGCCCACACUGGGAUUGAGAUACGGCCCAGACUCCUACGGGAGGCAGCAGUGGGGAAUAUUGCGCAAAUGGGGGAAACCCUGACGCAGCAACGCCGCGUGAAGGAAGAAGGCCUUCGGUUGUAAACUUCUUGUAUAGGGGACGAUAAUGACGGUACCCUAAAACAAAGACCACGGCUAACUAACGUG
This 469-nucleotide ribosomal RNA is filed under the name uncultured bacterium. Its description in RNAcentral is "bacterial SSU rRNA". It matches the Rfam family "Bacterial small subunit ribosomal RNA", at positions 28 to 507 of the family's 1533-position model. The record is from RNAcentral.